This 218-nucleotide non-coding RNA is filed under the name Gluconacetobacter diazotrophicus. RNAcentral also lists the same sequence under 1 other name. Lineage: Bacteria; Pseudomonadati; Pseudomonadota; Alphaproteobacteria; Acetobacterales; Acetobacteraceae. The record is from RNAcentral.
GAUUAGAAGUAUUUCGACGGUUCCUUCUUGUCAGAAGGAUUAAAAGGGAACGAAGUGCGGAUUACGGUCCAAUGCUUCGGCUGUCCCCGCAACUGUAAGCGGUAUGUCUGUGCGUCGCCGGAUAUCAUGGUCCGGACCACUGGGAACACUCAUCCCGGGAAGGUUAUGCAGGACGUGAUGCCGCAAGCCAGGAGACCUGCCGUCUGCAUUGGUUGCGA